UGAUAAUAGCCUCGGUGACAUGGGCAUAUCAUCAGGUGGUGGAGGUGGUUUUGGUAGCAGUUCUGGUUUUGGAUUGGGUGCUGAUGUCGAGUCCUUUUCUAGCAAGCCUAAAGGCCGUCCACCUUCAUCUGCUACUGCUCCUCCUAAAGGCCUUGGCAUGCAGCUUGGUAAAUCCCAAAGGACAAACCAAUUCUUGGAAUCUUUGAAGGCAGAAGGUGAAGUAAUAGUUGAAGAUGUACAACCAAGUGUUGGUCCAUCUAAAUCAGCUGUCCCACCCCCAACCGAUCCUGUUACUCUAUCUGUG
RNAcentral lists this unclassified non-coding RNA (304 nucleotides) under Hevea brasiliensis (rubber tree). Lineage: Eukaryota; Viridiplantae; Streptophyta; Magnoliopsida; Malpighiales; Euphorbiaceae. The record is from RNAcentral.